UCAGAGCUGCCCAAAUGGGCUAAAGCCUUGGAACAACCCAGGAUCAUUCUAUCAGCCACCAGGUGGCUGGUGGCUCCCCUUUCACCUGACAUUCUCACCUUGGGUAAAGUCCAAUCUGAAGUUUUCAAUGAGAUUGUACUGAAUCUAUGGGUCAGUUCGAAGAGAAAUGACAUGUUUAUAAUAUUGAGUUUUUCAACUCAUGGACAUGAUAUUUCUCAACUUACUUAGUUGUCUUUAGUUCCUUUCUAUGAAAUUUUAUAGUUUUCUCUGUAGAGAUCUUAGACAUUUUUGGUUAGAUUUAUUCCUAGGCAUUAGAUAUUUUUCAGCGCUUAUUAUAAAGUGUAUCUUAAAAUUUUUUUCUGUCAUUGCUGAUGCAUUUCAAUUCAUUAUAGAACAGUGCAGUUAUUUAGUUACCUUCAGAAAAUUUUAACCAAGACUUUUCCAUGCUGACCAACUUGGUCCUGCACAAUCAGUUUCCAUAGUGUGGUGAGGAGAACAGAAAUGAAGAACUUGGCAACAUCAAUCACCAUGAAGACAAUGAAAGAACAAAGUAAGAGUACAAAGUGAUCCAGCCAACUCUCUGACCAACCAACCAAUCACAGACACUGAAAGAAUAGAGAAGAAAAGUCAAGCACUGAGAACUUCAGGUGAAAACGAUGCCAGUUUCUCUACUAGAGGCUGUCAUCUGAGACUGAAGCUCAACUUGGCAAUGAUCCUGUAUUCCCAGCCUCAUUGGUCACGUUGCUGUGGGCUGUGAACCUGUCAGUACUGCUGAACCACAUGACUUGGAAUAGGACCACAGCUCACUCUGAAGUAGGGAAGGAGAGCUAAAAGAAGAUCAUUUUUGGUUGGAAUUUCUGAAAAUUUGACAUCUUCCAGAAAAAGAAUAGUCUAUGUUUCAGCAGUGACCAUGGUAUGCAGAUUGUCUAGGAACAAACCCUCAUUGUUUGGGGAGGACACAGGCUUACCAUGAAAACACCCUUGGGAAAGGACACCCAGGACCCCUUUCCUCUGCCAUUGGUAUGACCUUGGGCACAUCUCAUGCCCCGAACCUCAGUCUUCCUAUCUAUAAAAUGGUGGUAACAGUCCCUGCCCUCCCUGCAGCUUUUUUUGUGGGGAUAGUAGAAGAUUGUGCAUGUGAAAGGGCUUUUUAAGUUGAAGGCAGAGUUAAUGUUAUCAGCAGAUAGAACUUGGGAGAAAUUAGUAAUUGGAUCCUUUUAAACCUGAGCAAAUUGGCAACCUUGGUUGUAUGGUGGAGUCACCCAGAGAACUUUUAAAAUUCCUAA
Felis catus (domestic cat) is the source of this 1286-nucleotide long non-coding RNA. RefSeq lists it as uncharacterized. The record is from RefSeq and is a predicted model, not a curated record. The transcript has 5 exons. Lineage: Eukaryota; Metazoa; Chordata; Mammalia; Carnivora; Felidae.